This is a non-coding RNA of Mycena galericulata, 95 nucleotides long. The record is from the annotation of a GenBank genome assembly. Lineage: Eukaryota; Fungi; Basidiomycota; Agaricomycetes; Agaricales; Mycenaceae.
UCAGACAUAGUGUAUCGCAACACGGCCCCUGUCGUUUAUGGUCUCCCCAAAAGUUGCACUCGGGGCAGUUCCGGGUUCGAUUCCCGGUGUCUGAU